UCUAAUGCAAAAACCUAUAAAUAUUUAUCCUUCUGAUUACAGGUAAGUAUAGUCUUCAACCAUUGUCAUGGAAACUCUUCUUUGUAACAGAUGAAAACGACCACAGAAAAGCACAACCAGUCAAAAUGUAGAGUUGUGGACCCCUGAUCUGAUGGACACAUCUAUAAAACACUUCCAUAGCUGAGGCUCAGGAGAACUGUGGAAAGAAUGAUAGAUGCAUCUUUUAUAUCAGAAGAAGAGCUGAAUCAUGGAACGAAAGGUGACGACUAAGGCAAAGAGCCAUAAUUCAAAUCGUACAACUGCACAGCAAAGAGAGAGCUACAGCGUUGACUUUGGGACCGCCACACACUUCAACUUGGAGUCAACUGAAGGCUUCUCUGUAUGGGAA
This 388-nucleotide long non-coding RNA is filed under the name Rattus norvegicus (Norway rat). Its description in RNAcentral is "long non-coding RNA NONRATT031604". The record is from RNAcentral. Lineage: Eukaryota; Metazoa; Chordata; Mammalia; Rodentia; Muridae.